GGUUUAAUCAGAGCCCAGCAACAGAGAUCACUGAAAUUACUAUUGUCAGAGAAUGUCUUUUAUCAGACCACUGACAUCGAUUAUUGAUCAUUCGAUCAGUGAAUUAUUUGAGGAGUUUGAGAGAAGGAUCGCAGAGUACGAGGAGGAAAUUUUGCGACUAAAGAAGGAAAACUCGACAAAGAGAGAAACUGGACGCUAUUUAUAAACCUGAAGUACGGAUAUACAGAUUAGGGACAGAAAUCUAUGGUGCUGGUCAUACGCCCUUUGCUGUCGAUAAUGGAGGAGCAGGUGCAGUUUUUGAAAGCAAAAGGCAUUCCUGCCGCCUACGCGGGACAAAGCGAGGACAUCGAUGACCAGAUCACCGCCAGUGAUUUCACCCUUGUGUUUGGCACACCAGAAACUUUUGUUGGCCAAGCAAAGUGGAGAGGGCUUCUACAAACGCCGUUAUUUCGGGAGCGGCUGGUUGGAGUGGCUGUUGACGAAGUACACACUGUAGUGCAAUGACCCCCAGCAGCUCUUAGCUUCUGCAAAGAAGAUUUUCAUAGGGAAGCAGGAAUGGCGCCCCAUUUAGGGCGAGGAGGUGCCAGAGGCCCCGUGCACCAAAGAGGAAGAGGAGAAACUUUGGACCAGUUGGGAGGAAGAGCAGGCUUGUAUAGCCAAGUUUCCAUUCAUCCUUGUCCCUAUGGAGAAUGAAAACGAUGAAGCAAAACCUCUGCCCCUACAGCUUCAUCAAAGUCAAACAGGGAAGUACAGAGUGGUGGAGCCUCCAGCCAGCACCCUAACUGAAGAGACAAAAGCAGAACCUGAUGGAGAGAAAUGUGGACUAUCAGAACUAGUUAGUAACCAAGAUCAAGAUGAUGAUUUAGAAACAACUAGUUAUGGUCAGCCCCUUUCUUCAGACUGCUAUCAAAGUGAGGCUGAAGACAGUGAUGAUGGUUGUAGCAAGACUAGAGAACCACAGUCAAGUUUGUACACAACAAACAACACUGAAAUAACUAAUCAGAGAUCUCUUCAGAGGAAAACCAUCAAUUGCUCAGUCUGCGGUAAAGGGUUUUCUACAAGAGGACAUAUGCGGAUGCACAUGAAUGAACAUACAGGAGAGAAGGUACUAUCCAGAAUUUGAGGACAUUUUCAGUCUGACCUAUGAAAUUUAAAAUAAUCCAUGCCCAAAAUACUAAAACAUGCACUUGUUGUGUUAAAUAUACUUGUUCUGAGACAAAAU
Molecule: long non-coding RNA, 1222 nt
Organism: Lampris incognitus (smalleye Pacific opah)
Lineage: Eukaryota; Metazoa; Chordata; Actinopteri; Lampriformes; Lampridae
Exons: 3
Source: RefSeq, a predicted model, not a curated record